CCCACCGCACCGGCGGCGCGUCCGUUCCUUCUCGCCGGCUGCAGCCCGGUCACCGGCACGACCGGCCCCCGGCGAGCUAGUUACCCUUCCUUCUGACUUAGGGUGACUUGCUGCCGCCCUCACCUCAGCCACCGCGUCUGGCAUCAGCAACCUCCGAGGCCUGCGGCCGGCUGCCCCUGCCCUCCCUCCUCUGCCCGCAUCGACCCCAGGAGCCUAAAUCUGGUGGUGUAAACAUGACAAGGAAAGCUGAUUUCAAGCAGAGACUGUGAGCGGUCCUAGCCCCAGCGGUCAGGCCGGUUAAGCGAUGGAGGCGGUGGGGUACCCGCAGGGAUGUGGAGCGGAGAGCUGCUCAGGGAGGUUUCUGCUGGGGCUGAGGGAAGGGGUCGUGCCUUACCCUGUCUCUCCAUAGUCGGGAGGAGGUUCCACACCUCCUCCUUGGUGGGUAUGCACAUAAAGUUCAGCAGGACCAGAAAAAUUGAGAUCACGUACUUUGAAAGUCCACAGUUGCUGCAGUUUCCAUCUUGGAAAUGCCAUGAGAAAUGCGAGCUUUCGUCACUGGUGUUCUCUGAUGCUUCUGCCUAUCCAACUGAUACUGAUCUAUGGCUUGCCAAUACUCCGGUGUAUUUGUAUCUUGCCUUAAAAUUAGGAGGUGAAACAAGUGAUAAAUGUGCUGCUUUGUGCCAUUUUUGAAAAGGGUGAGCAAUAUGACCCAAAUGACUAGUUAGCUUAAUAGCUAUCCUAACCAAAAUAGAAAAUCUGAUGUGGAAUUCAAAUAUAAAAAUUUGAAAGGAAGGAACGUAAUACAAAUCUACACAGUGUUUUACUAAAAGUAGCUGUUAAUACUGUUUUGAGGACAUACUUGACUCAGACUUAGUGCUGCAUGAUAUGAACAUUGGGUGCAUGCAGUGCCAAUAAACCAUGCAAAUGGAAUUUGCUGCCAGAUCUCAAGAAGAGGAAGUCUGUAGGAAAACUUAGUUGAAAGAGAUGGUGUCUGAAGAGGUUCCAAUAGUAGGUCCUGUGUUCUACGACAUUUUUAGCAAUGAUUUGGAAGCGGAUUUAAACCUGCUGCUACAAAAAUUCAUCUCCAGGUUCAAUGGAGUUCUAAAUAAUGAUGAGGAGGGGGCAGUGAUCAGAACAGUUUGUAGAAGCAUCCCAUUCAAACUUAGCGAAUUUUAAUCCAGCCAAAUAUAAAGCUGUCUAUCUUAAGAACCGAGUGUGGAGGCUGUAACUGGAGAAUAGAAGACUACAUCCUGGAAAGGAGCACCAUUUGUAACCAUAGCUGUUAUUACAAAUGAGGUCAUCCAUAUUAGAAUGAAGAUCUGCAGCCAAUAAAAAAUGUGUGGGUUGAAAACAUCCACAACAUCACCAAGAGCCGCCUUCUUUCAAUCUGCUGAAAAUGCCAGUGAGCCACCUCCCUUGGUCUUCCAUCUUCGGGAUAUUAUGUGCUCCCAGUCCUGGGGAGGGUCUCAGGGAAAAGGCUAGAUCAACUGAUGAGAAGUGCCAGAAAAGCUGUCAUCAAUGAAUACCUGCAUUUGUGAAUAAUUUCCAUGUAGCCUUUCAGAUGUGGGAACCUUGGCACCCAUGUAGAAAAAUAUUACUACAUUGAAUCCACUGAUGUUUCCUUACCGUGAACAAUUCAAAUAUGACGUAUAAACUGCCAGCACAGUCCUUGAUAAAACAAAAUUGAUACUCUGCAAAAGCUGUUUUUACACUCUUCCCCAUAUGGUCUAACUGCACGCCAAAUAAAAUCAUCGAGAAUAUAGGGUUAUAACAACAUUUGUUUGUUGUGCUUGAAAAUUGAUGUCAACGUCCUAUACACGUCCUCUAACUAUAGCAAAACAGUAAAAAAGUCACACCACA
This is a long non-coding RNA of Aquila chrysaetos chrysaetos, 1860 nucleotides long. RefSeq lists it as uncharacterized. Lineage: Eukaryota; Metazoa; Chordata; Aves; Accipitriformes; Accipitridae. The record is from RefSeq and is a predicted model, not a curated record. The transcript has 4 exons.